CCAAUAGCGUAUAUUAAAGUUGUUGCAGUUAAAAAGCUCGUAGUUGAAUUUCGGGAUCAAUAUGCCGGUCAUGCCUUGGUAUGCACUGGUAUCUUUGAUUUCUCCCUUCUGACGAACUUUGAUGUCAUUAAUUUGGUGUCAUAGGGAAUCAGGACUGUUACUUUGAAAAAAUUAGAGUGUUUAAAGUAGGCUCACGCUUG
This 200-nucleotide ribosomal RNA is filed under the name uncultured Glomus. RNAcentral describes it as "partial small subunit ribosomal RNA". It matches the Rfam family "Eukaryotic small subunit ribosomal RNA", at positions 591 to 797 of the family's 1831-position model. The record is from RNAcentral. Lineage: Eukaryota; Fungi; Glomeromycota; Glomeromycetes; Glomerales; Glomeraceae.